CGGGGCGUGGCGCAGCCUGGUAGCGCGCACCCUUGGGGUGGGUGAGGUCGGAGGUUCAAAUCCUCUCGCCCCGA
Molecule: transfer RNA, 74 nt
Filed under: bacterium
Lineage: Bacteria
Also listed under: 4 other names
Description: tRNA-Pro
Rfam family: tRNA
About the family: Transfer RNA (tRNA) molecules are approximately 80 nucleotides in length. Their secondary structure includes four short double-helical elements and three loops (D, anti-codon, and T loops).
Source: RNAcentral